GAGAACAGACUAUGAGAUGGUGAGAUGAGACUCGUGUGUGUUCUCUGCACGACUGUGCGCGCUGAACCGUAAUGUCCUUACCGCAACGGUUCGGGACGAAUACACGUACCGUUACACCCCUAGCGUGUAAUCACCUGCGUUUGGGCUGUAGGGUCUCUGACUGUUUUCGCUCUGUAUUUUAGGAAUGGCAGGAGGUCCUCGUUUCGUACCAACGGGCUUGUGUUCGGGCGGCAGUGUCGGUGUGGAAUUCAUCCCGCGGCCAGACGCCAGAAGGAGCACAUCUGAAGAAGCUCAAGUUGAGGGUGUUCCCGGUGAGGACUCAUCUAAAAGACUUAUCUGAUGUUUGUGGACUGGCCCGUAGACAUGCUUAAUUUGUAUAGAUUGAUGGAUUCAGGGAACAAAUCUCCCAUUGAAGAACGUCAAUUUGAGUUGGUGUGUUUGACAAAAGUGCAUUGUGGGCGUUGGCCUUUGAGUCAACAGUCCUGCAGUUUUCAUUGCAUGGUGUAAAAGACUGUAACUGCUUUGACUUUUUUUCUCUGACAUGGAGGUUUGUUUGGGGUUUUUUUUGUUUGUUUUUCUUUUAAGACAAUGUUACAAAACACACUUCAAAUAAAGAGGCCUUUGUUUUGAACCAUU
Long non-coding RNA from Chanos chanos (milkfish), 636 nucleotides. RefSeq lists it as uncharacterized. The record is from RefSeq and is a predicted model, not a curated record. The transcript has 3 exons. Lineage: Eukaryota; Metazoa; Chordata; Actinopteri; Gonorynchiformes; Chanidae.